This 505-nucleotide ribosomal RNA is filed under the name uncultured bacterium. Its description in RNAcentral is "partial 16S ribosomal RNA". It matches the Rfam family "Bacterial small subunit ribosomal RNA", at positions 28 to 507 of the family's 1533-position model. The record is from RNAcentral.
GACGAACGCUGGCGGCGUGCCUAAUACAUGCAAGUAGAACGCACAGUUUAUACCGUAGCUUGCUACACCAUAGACUGUGAGUUGCGAACGGGUGAGUAACGCGUAGGUAACCUGCCUGGUAUCGGGGGAUAACUAUUGGAAACGAUAGCUAAUACCGCAUAAUAUUGAUUAUUGCAUGAUAAUUGAUUGAAAGAUGCUCUUGCAUCACUACCAGAUGGACCUGCGUUGUAUUAGCUAGUAUGUGAGGUAACGGCUCACCUAGUCGACGAUACAUAGCCGACCUGGGAGGGUGAUCGGCCACACUGGGAAUGAGACACGGCCCAGACUCCCACGGGAGGCAGCAGGAGGGAAUCUUCGGCAAUGGACGAAAGUCUGACCGAGCAACGCCGCGUGAGUGAAGAAGGGUUUCGGAUCGGAAAGCUCUGUUGUAAGAGAAGAACGGGUGUGAGAGUGGAAAGUUCACACUGUGACGGUAUCUUACCAGAAAGGGACGGCUAACUACGUG